GUUCUGCUGGUCGGCUUGUUAGUUCUGGAUCAGAGGAAGAGGAAUGUUUGUUGCAUGUGAACACAGUGAAGCAGAGAAUGCUCUGUCAGACUCCCCACGGCAAAAACAUAAGAGAAGAAGAAGUCUUCAGAAUUUUUUUUAAAAAAUCUACAAAAAACAAGGCAGUCUUAAGAUUGUGUUGCUUAGAAACACGCCGGUGGGAGGAGGACAGCUGAUCUCCGCCUUGCAGCGGGAGGAAAGCUGGUGGCUCAGACGGUGCAGAUGUUGGUAAACCAUCAGUGCGGUGCUUCUGCAGCCUCUGAGUUGCAGGAUGUCUCAUCAAGUGUCCGUCUUCCUGACUGCCACUCGGUGUUUGACCUUCAGGAUGUCCAGAGACCUUCACCUUUCUGGAGCUGGGAUCACAUGAGCCCGAUGUGCUGAUGAAACAUUUCUAAUAAAAAAAAAAAAAUGUGGCUGAUGU
Long non-coding RNA from Xiphophorus couchianus (Monterrey platyfish), 460 nucleotides. RefSeq lists it as uncharacterized. The record is from RefSeq and is a predicted model, not a curated record. The transcript is spliced from 2 exons. Lineage: Eukaryota; Metazoa; Chordata; Actinopteri; Cyprinodontiformes; Poeciliidae.